UUAGGAAAAAAUAUAUAUAUAAAAUAAUAAUAAAAUAAAUUUAAUUCGUGUUACUGUUUGCACUCACAAUUUUAACAUUUUGAAACUGUUAUCAAUCUUUCAUUUUUACCCCUUCUUUCAAUGACCAACAAACCCAAUAUGGUUUUACUAGCUACAGUUUUCCCUUUCUAUUUCCACACCCCUACCUACAAUAUCAAUUUUUUUUUUAUUUUCUUUAUAAGAUUUCUCCACCCAAAUUCUUUAUUAUUUUAUUCACUAUCUAUCUUCUUAAUUUUUCCACUCAAUUUUCUUUUUACUAUUCUCUUCAUUUAAUUUCUGACUUAAAUUUUUAUUAUUAUUUUUCUUCACUGUUUUCUUUAUCUAAAUUUUCUGUCCAUUUUUUAAUUAUUUUUUAACUCUCACCUUCCCUACUCAUAUUUUAUAAUUACCUACGCAUUUUUAUUUUCAUGAC
Molecule: long non-coding RNA, 451 nt
Filed under: Vigna radiata
Lineage: Eukaryota; Viridiplantae; Streptophyta; Magnoliopsida; Fabales; Fabaceae
Description: long non-coding RNA (VRAD_LNC003281)
Source: RNAcentral